Molecule: long non-coding RNA, 208 nt
Filed under: Mytilus galloprovincialis (Mediterranean mussel)
Lineage: Eukaryota; Metazoa; Mollusca; Bivalvia; Mytilida; Mytilidae
Source: RNAcentral
CGGACAAAUAGCGAUAUUAAGGUGUAUUCAUUUGUAAAUACUACCCUAGUUACAAUGACUUAAUAAAAAAGGUUCUCUUCUGGGAAUAGUAUACUGUUUAUCUAUUAUGUCGGUUGAUUGAUUUUGCUUAUAGUUAAACCUCAAGUGGCAACUAUUUCAUUAAAGUGCGCAUUGAGUAUAAUUCUGGGACGUCCCAUAUCUCAAUUAA